CCUACGGGUGGCAGCAGUGAGGAAUAUUGGUCAAUGGACGAGAGUCUGAACCAGCCAAGUAGCGUGAAGGAUGACUGCCCUAUGGGUUGUAAACUUCUUUUAUAUGGGAAUAAAAUGUUCCACGUGUGGGAUUUUGUAUGUACCAUAUGAAUAAGGAUCGGCUAACUCCGUGCCAGCAGCCGCGGUAAUACGGAGGAUCCGAGCGUUAUCCGGAUUUAUUGGGUUUAAAGGGAGCGUAGGUGGAUUGUUAAGUCAGUUGUGAAAGUUUGCGGCUCAACCGUAAAAUUGCAGUUGAAACGGGCAGUCUUGAGUACAGUAGAGGUGGGCGGAAUUCGUGGUGUAGCGGUGAAAUGCUUAGAGAUCACGAAGAACUCCGAUUGCGAAGGCAGUUCACUGGACUGCAACUGACACUGAGGCUCGAAAGUGUGGGUAUCAAACAGGAUUAGAUACCCCAGUAGUC
This 460-nucleotide ribosomal RNA is filed under the name uncultured bacterium. Its description in RNAcentral is "partial 16S ribosomal RNA". It matches the Rfam family "Bacterial small subunit ribosomal RNA", at positions 338 to 795 of the family's 1533-position model. The record is from RNAcentral.